AUAUGCUUGUCUCAAAGAUUAAGCCAUGCAUGUCUCAGUACAAGCCACAUUAAGGUGAAACCGCGAAAGGCUCAUUAAAUCAGUUAUGGUUCCUUAGAUCGUACCCACAUUUACUUGGAUAACUGUGGUAAUUCUAGAGCUAAUACAUGCAAACAAAGUUCCGACCGGAGACGGGAGGAAUGCUUUUAUUAGAUCAAAACCAAUCGGCGGCGGGUGCGCUCGCGCGCCCGUUCGCCGCUCAACCUGGUGACUCUGAAUAACUUUCGGCUGAUCGCACGGUCCAGCACCGGCGACGCAUCUUUCAAAUGUCUGCCUUAUCAACUGUCGAUGGUAGGUUCUGCGCCUACCAUGGUCGUAACGGGUAACGGGGAAUCAGGGUUCGAUUCCGGAGAGGGAGCCUGAGAAACGGCUACCACAUCCAAGGAAGGCAGCAGGCGCGCAAAUUACCCACUCCCGGCACGGGGAGGUAGUGACGAAAAAUAACGAUACGGGACUCAUCCGAGGCCCCGUAAUCGGAAUGAGUACACUUUAAAUCCUUUAACAAGGAUCAAUUGGAGGGCAAGUCUGGUGCCAGCAGCCGCGGUAAUUCCAGCUCCAAUAGCGUAUAUU
This 609-nucleotide ribosomal RNA is filed under the name Copelatus sp. MB0312. RNAcentral's name for it is "SSU rRNA". It matches the Rfam family "Eukaryotic small subunit ribosomal RNA", at positions 26 to 605 of the family's 1831-position model. The record is from RNAcentral. Lineage: Eukaryota; Metazoa; Arthropoda; Insecta; Coleoptera; Dytiscidae.